This 497-nucleotide ribosomal RNA is filed under the name uncultured bacterium. RNAcentral describes it as "partial 16S ribosomal RNA". It matches the Rfam family "Bacterial small subunit ribosomal RNA", at positions 28 to 507 of the family's 1533-position model. The record is from RNAcentral.
GAUGAACGCUGGCGGCGUGCCUAAUACAUGCAAGUCGAGCGAACAGACGAGGGGCUUGCUCCUCUGACGUUAGCGGCGGACGGGUGAGUAACACGUGGAUAACCUACCUAUAAGACUGGGAUAACUACGGGAAACCGGCGCUAAUACCGGAUAAUAUAUUGAACAGCAUGGUUCAAUAGUGAAAUACGGUUUUUCUGUCACUUAUAGAUGGAUCCGCGCCGCAUUAGCUAGUUGGUAAGGUAACGGCUUACCAAGGCGACGAUGCGUAGCCGCCCUGAGAGGGUGAUUGGCCACAUGGGAACUGAGACACGGUCCAGACUCUGACGGGAGGCAGCAGUAGGGAAUCUUACGGAAUGGGGGAGAGCCGGACGGAGCAACGCGGCGUGAGUGAUGAAGGUCUUCGGAUCGUAAAACUAUGUUAUUAGGGAAGAACAAAUGUGUAAGUAACUAUGCACGUCUUGACGGUACCUAAUCAGAAAGCCACGGCUAACUACGUG